AAUUCAAGGAUCUAUAAAGAGAGAACAAAACGAUGGCAUGAUAAGAGAAUCAAGCACAAGGAGUUUAAGCCUGGAGAUAAGGUUGUACUAUUCAAUUCAAGAGUUAAGCUCUUUGGGCAUGGUAAGCUACGAAGUAAGUGGGAUGGACCGUACAAGGUUAUUCACACUUCAACUCAUGGAGCCAUUACCAUCCAAGACGACAUAGGUAACACUUUUAAGGUAAAUGGUCAACGCUUGAAAAUCUAUCUCGAGCCACAAAACAACCUGGUAGAGGAACUUGAUGUGAUUGAGUUCAUAGAAUUCUCAUAUUAAGCUCUCAUAAGCUCUAGACAAUUACCUAACCCUUAACAUGUUCCACGAGUUUUGUUGUCUAUUUUGGUUGUGCAGGAUUUUGAAGCUUAAGAAGAGUGAGACCGGACAUGCAGGCCACAAGAGUGAACGACUAUGUCAACAUCCAGCUUGGGGGAGGCACCCCCACGUGUAUCUAGAUAAGUAUUACUUUUCUUCCUUUGGUUUUAUUUUCUAGUAUUCGGAAAUAAAUAAAUAAAUAAAAAUGCAUAACCAUGAAACCAAACAAAGUUUUUCUUUUGAGUAAUAUACAAUAGUUUUGUGUAAUUCUAAGUUUUAAAUAAAAAUAAAAAAAGUUUGACUCAAGUCUAGGUAAUUGACAAACAUGAUAUGAGAAGGUCUGAGCUACUAUUUAACUUGUUCUAAGUUUUGCUAGAGUUCUGGAGAUUUUAUCUUUUGAAAAUCUAAAAAUUCAUAAAAAAAUAAAUAUAUGAGAUCAUAAUACCUAGAGUCUUAUAAGAAAUAAAUAUUAAAACUGUGGGUACUUUCUUUGUUCAAGCCAUUGUUAAUUCUUGUAGUUUUGGUUGAGAGAAUUAUCAUGCUCCCAAGAUCAAGAUCUUUUUGUUUUAAAAAUAUAAAAGAUUCACUCUUCUGAAGUAUUAUUGCGUUAGAGGCAUGGGACUAUGCAAACAUUUGUUUCGAAAAAAAAGAAAGAGUGAGACGAGAGGUAAAAAUGGACAAGUGUCCGAAGUAGAAUUAGGGGUACAAAGAUACCCACUUGAGUGAAAAAAAUGGACAUGUGUCCGACAGUAGAAUUAGGGGUACUUGCUGCCCACUGAAAAAAGAGACUGAAAAAAAAGAAGAAGAAGAAAAAAAAUGAUAGCCCAUGGUCCCUCUAAUAAGCAAUAUGCGAGUAAGAGAUGACAAACUUCUCAAAAAGGUCAAAGGUCUUGAUCUAGGAGUAUGACAUUCCUCUCCCUUACUCCGAGCGUUGACAUAGCAAAAUGCAAAGUAAGUUUGCUAAAAUUUUUAAAGAUCUACUUAUAUAUCUUUCGAGAAGAAGGCAAAUGCCUCAGUUUUAUUUUGGAAACUUACAAACAACUCCAGAACAAAGGUAAGACAGAAGAACUUGAGACAUAGUGCUUAACUUGAUCGUUCUGUUUUUCAAUCACUUAAGACCUUAAAAACCCUGUAGUAAGAGGCAUAAAAGUAACCCCUGUUUUCUUGCUGAUUUUAGCUUUGCUCAGGGACAAUCAAAGGUUAAGCUUGGGGGAGCUUGUUGACGGUCCUUAAUGCUCACAAUUAACCAUCAACUAAUCAUAAAAAAGGAUCCAAAUGCAACCAACACCUAGACUUAGGGUUUUAUCUGACAGAAUUCCACAAGUUUUGGUGUUUGUCUAUUUUUGCAGGGGGUUAUCAGGAAAUACGAAAGAAAGCCCCACACGUCGGGUUUACAUAGAGAUAUUAACGUGCCGCACAAUUAUCUACCAUCUAGAAGACUCCAGAAGCCAUGGGAACGAACGGGAAGGAAAUCGGGCUCGGAGGCAGGGCGCCCGCCCAACUCUCCUGGGCGCCCGCCCAGCUACAGUGCCCAAUCAGGACACGUUUCGCGGAUUAUGCUCCACCGACCUAAAGGAUCAAGGAAAACCGUGCGAUCAAUGUCGGUUUGAUCCGACG
This 1965-nucleotide long non-coding RNA is filed under the name Sorghum bicolor (sorghum). RNAcentral's name for it is "long non-coding RNA (SBIC_LNC005197)". The record is from RNAcentral. Lineage: Eukaryota; Viridiplantae; Streptophyta; Magnoliopsida; Poales; Poaceae.